AGAACACUCACCUGCAGUAACAGCUGUUCAUCUGUUGAGACCCUUAUCUUAACUUAUCACUUUCAGAAGGGCAGACAAACUCAAUGUGGUGCUUACAGAGUUUCGCUCUUAGUGCCCAGGCUAGAGUGCAAUGGUGGGAUCUCAGCUCACUGUAACCUCCGCCUCCCAGGUUCAAGCGAUUUUCCUGCCUCAGCCUCCUGAGUAGCUGGGAUUACAGAUGCCCGCUACCACGCCUGGGCUGAAAGGAUUAUAACAUGUAAUUAUGUUUAAAAUUCCAUGUGAUCUAAAAUUCCAUCAUUCUAUCGUGAGCCCAGGAGCUCCUGUUGCAUAAAACAUAUGCUAAUCAAUAAAUGUGAUACAUCACAUCAACAGAAUAAAAAACAAAAAAAGUAUGAUCAUCUCCAUAGAUGCAGAAAAAGCUUUUGAUAAAAUUCAGUAUCCCUUCAUAACAAAUACUGAAAACAAAUUAGGCAUAGAAGGAACAUAUUUCCACAUAACAAAGGCCAUAUAUGACAAACCCAUAGCUAACAUUAUACUGAAUGGGGAGAAGCUGAAUGCCUUUCUUCCAAGAACUGGAACAAAACAAAUAUGCUCUCUUUCACCACUCCUAUUCAACACAGUACUAGAAGUUCUGUCUAACGCAAUCAGGCAAGAGAAAGAAAUAAAGGUUUUCCAAAUUAGAAAAGAGGAAGUCUAAUUGCUCCCUCUUUGAAGAUUAUAUGAUCUUAUAACUAGAAAAAUGUAGAGAAUUCACCAAAAACUCACAGAACUGAUCAACACAGUAAAGUUGCAAGAUACAAAAUCAGUCAACAUGCAAAAGUCAGAAGCAUUUCUAUACACCAACAACAAGGUAGCUGAAAAAGAAAUCAAGAAAGCAAUCCCAUGUAUAAUAGCUACAAAAAAAUAAAAUACCUAGGAAUGAAUUUAACCCGAGGAGUGAAAGAUAUCUAAGGAAAACUGCAAAAUAUUAUUGAAAGAAAUUGAAGAUGACAGAAACACAUGGAA
This is a long non-coding RNA of Mandrillus leucophaeus (drill), 1005 nucleotides long. RefSeq lists it as uncharacterized. The record is from RefSeq and is a predicted model, not a curated record. The transcript has 3 exons. Lineage: Eukaryota; Metazoa; Chordata; Mammalia; Primates; Cercopithecidae.